RNAcentral lists this ribosomal RNA (119 nucleotides) under Trichuris muris. The record is from RNAcentral. Lineage: Eukaryota; Metazoa; Nematoda; Enoplea; Trichinellida; Trichuridae.
GUCUACGAUCAUAUUACGUUGAAUGCACCGCAUCCCGUCAGAUCUGCGAAGUCAAGCAACGUUAUGCCGAGCAAGCAUCAUGGUUGUAGACAACAUGGGAACCCUCCGUGUCGUAGGCA